UACGGGGGGGGCAAGCGUUGUUCGGAAUUACUGGGCGUAAAGGGCUCGUAGGCGGCCAACUAAGUCAGACGUGAAAUCCCUCGGCUUAACUGGGGAACUGCGUCUGAUACUGGAUGGCUUGAGUUUGGGAGAGGGAUGCGGAAUUCCAGGUGUAGCGGUGAAAUGCGUAGAUAUCUGGAGGAACACCAAUUGCGAAGGCAGCUCGCUGGGACGUUACUGACGCUGAGGAGCGAAAGCGUGGGGAGCAAACAGG
Molecule: ribosomal RNA, 253 nt
Filed under: uncultured bacterium
Lineage: Bacteria
Description: partial 16S ribosomal RNA
Rfam family: Bacterial small subunit ribosomal RNA
Source: RNAcentral